GAUGAAGAACGUAGCGAAAUGCGAUACGUAAUGUGAAUUGCAGAAUUCAGUGAAUCAUCGAAUCUUUGAACGCAUAUUGCGCUCUCUGGUAUUCCGGAGAGCAUGCUUGUUUGAGUAUCAGUAAACACCUCAACUUCCAUAUCUUUUUUGAAAUGGGAGUUGGACUUGAGUGAUCCCAACGCUUUUCCUCACCGAAAAGUGGCGGGUUACUUGAAAUGCAGGUGCAGCUGGACUUUUCUCUGAGCUAUAAGCAUAUCUAUUUAGUCUGCCUAAAAAACAGAUUAUUACCUUUGCUGCAGCUAACAUAAAGGAGAUUAGUUCUUGUGCUGACUGAUGCAUGAUUCACAAAGACGGCUUCGGCCGACUUUGUAAACUCGAUCUCAAAUCAAGUAAGACUACCCGCUGAACUUAAGCAUAUCAAUAAGCGAGGA
Molecule: unclassified non-coding RNA, 431 nt
Filed under: soil metagenome
Description: partial contains 5.8S ribosomal RNA, internal transcribed spacer 2, and large subunit ribosomal RNA
Rfam family: 5.8S ribosomal RNA (bases 1-120)
Source: RNAcentral